RNAcentral lists this ribosomal RNA (627 nucleotides) under uncultured Lachnospiraceae bacterium. RNAcentral's name for it is "bacterial SSU rRNA". It matches the Rfam family "Bacterial small subunit ribosomal RNA", at positions 80 to 725 of the family's 1533-position model. The record is from RNAcentral. Lineage: Bacteria; Bacillati; Bacillota; Clostridia; Lachnospirales; Lachnospiraceae.
UUCUUAACUGACUGAGCGGCGGACGGGUGAGUAACGCGUGGGUGACCUGCCCCAUACCGGGGGAUAACAGCUGGAAACGGCUGCUAAUACCGCAUAAGCGCACAGAGCUGCAUGGCUCGGUGUGAAAAACUCCGGUGGUAUGGGAUGGGCCCGCGUCUGAUUAGGCAGUUGGCGGGGUAACGGCCCACCAAACCGACGAUCAGUAGCCGGCCUGAGAGGGCGACCGGCCACAUUGGGACUGAGACACGGCCCAAACUCCUACGGGAGGCAGCAGUGGGGAAUAUUGCACAAUGGGGGAAACCCUGAUGCAGCGACGCCGCGUGAGCGAAGAAGUAUUUCGGUAUGUAAAGCUCUAUCAGCAGGGAAGAUAAUGACGGUACCUGACUAAGAAGCCCCGGCUAACUACGUGCCAGCAGCCGCGGUAAUACGUAGGGGGCAAGCGUUAUCCGGAUUUACUGGGUGUAAAGGGAGCGUAGACGGCAAGGCAAGUCUGAUGUGAAAACCCAGGGCUUAACCCUGGGACUGCAUUGGAAACUGUCUGGCUCGAGUGCCGGAGAGGUAAGCGGAAUUCCUAGUGUAGCGGUGAAAUGCGUAGAUAUUAGGAAGAACACCAGUGGCGAAGGCGGC